AAAAAAACGAAUCAUCGAACGAAAACAAGCACUAUAUGGCUCUGAUACCACUGUUGGAUAAAAUCAAUUAAAUAUCCAAAAAUAUAAGUCGCAAAAAUCUCAUAGAUUUUUACAUACCUCUUUUGUGGUGCGGAAUUAAUGUUGUGAUUACCAGGAUCUGAUCUCGUCUUGUUUUACGAACUCGUUGAUCCGCCAACGUCCUGUCUCAAUUUGUUGCGUGUUGUUCUUUCUCGUUGCAAUCCGGCUACUAGAGUCGAUUGCCGCACACCGCCCAAAUCCCUAGGAUUUAUGAUGGUGCCCUAGAGCGAACCAAAGAGAGAGAAUUUUUGUGGAGAGAUGAUUCUUAUUUUUUUCGUUGUCUUGUAUGUGGUCAAUACCUCAUGUAUUUAUAGGCCAUAAGGGAGAUAUUAAUCCUAAUCAUAUUCUAACUAAAUCUCACAUAGAUAGAGAUUUAAACAGAUUAGGAUUUAUCCGUUAGAUUUAUUCCUUAUCCCAAGUGGACUAGGAAUAUAACAGAUAAUUAUAAAUAUUUAUUUCUUAUCCCAUAUGGAUUAGAAAUAUUUUAGAUAAGUCCUAAUGUGGACGAAUCCUAACACCGUGCAUAAUGCUUCUUCACCUUUUUUGACCAGUUCUUCGUAAAGCUUAAUUAUGAAAUUUUAGUGAAUUACUUUAAAUUUGAAAGAAUGAACCUUAUUCCCAUAUACUUCUUUAUUCCC
RNAcentral lists this long non-coding RNA (716 nucleotides) under Ananas comosus (pineapple). RNAcentral's name for it is "long non-coding RNA (ACOM_LNC041628)". The record is from RNAcentral. Lineage: Eukaryota; Viridiplantae; Streptophyta; Magnoliopsida; Poales; Bromeliaceae.